AUUGUAGGAGAGGGUGGAGCAGUGGUGUAGUCUAAUGUAUUGUAGUGGCUAUACUGUACGGUAUAUAUCUUUGGCCAGAAUCUGCCUUUGGGGGCAUAUCAUAGUGGGAGGUCUGGGUGUCUUCUCUAUGGAAGUUUGGAGCUUCAAGGACUUAAUUUCCUGUAUUCAGAUGCACUUUUAUGCACCAAUC
Long non-coding RNA from Etheostoma spectabile (orangethroat darter), 190 nucleotides. RefSeq lists it as uncharacterized. The transcript is spliced from 3 exons. Lineage: Eukaryota; Metazoa; Chordata; Actinopteri; Perciformes; Percidae. The record is from RefSeq and is a predicted model, not a curated record.